GCAUAAGUAUUGGCGGAAUAGAUGAUUUUAGCUUCCCGCUUAGUGAUUUUCUAUCAUAGCGUUUAUCAAACGCUAUUACAAAAUAAUCAAAAUAAAAAUU
RNAcentral lists this small RNA (100 nucleotides) under Arabidopsis thaliana (thale cress). RNAcentral's name for it is "ATSL206150". The record is from RNAcentral. Lineage: Eukaryota; Viridiplantae; Streptophyta; Magnoliopsida; Brassicales; Brassicaceae.